Molecule: non-coding RNA, 655 nt
Organism: Sus scrofa (pig)
Lineage: Eukaryota; Metazoa; Chordata; Mammalia; Artiodactyla; Suidae
Source: RefSeq, a predicted model, not a curated record
UCCUUCCCACGGCGAGUUAACCCCGUUCCUGACGUUACUUUUUGGGUCACAAGGAGAAGACAUGUUCUGUUUCUCUAUCCCCUGGACGUUUCUUCUCCUCCAAGCCGUGUUUCAAGCGUUGGACAGCCACGGUGCAGCCAGACAACGUCUCCAUCAUCCACGUCCUGCUGGACCGCACUCAUCUGACCUGCAGCAAGGGCCUCUGUUGCUCUUCGCCCAGCAGAUGAAACACCAAGUUCUUUUAGCUGUUGUGAAUUAGAAAGGGAGUGACGGAAUCCCAGAUCCUCUUCUCUUAUGAGCCCGUCACAGAGAGGAUCAGGAACCUCAUCUGCUGGAGCCACGUGUUCACAUAGGAGUCAAGUACAGACCUUGGGCUUCUCUCCAGGGGAGGUUACAGACACAGAAGACCCGGAGAAAGUACAAAUAACUGCAGACUUGUGUUUCUCCUCCAAACCAUACUGCAUGUCUUGAUCUAUGACUUAGACAUUUGAAAAAAUUAUUUUAUGGUUAGUGCCAGUUGCAUUGCAUUAUCGUGGUGUUGUGAGUUAAAGGCAUUAAUUUUUCAAGCAUAACCAUUUGACAUAGACCGCAUUUUAAAAAGAAGCCUGUUGGAGUUCCCGCUGUGGCACAGUGGAAACAAAUCUGACUAGGAACC